ACUUUUAAGGGAAAAUAGUU
Molecule: transfer RNA, 20 nt
Filed under: Brookesia tristis
Lineage: Eukaryota; Metazoa; Chordata; Lepidosauria; Squamata; Chamaeleonidae
Description: partial tRNA-Leu
Source: RNAcentral